This 1206-nucleotide long non-coding RNA is filed under the name Hordeum vulgare. Its description in RNAcentral is "long non-coding RNA (HVUL_LNC000180)". Lineage: Eukaryota; Viridiplantae; Streptophyta; Magnoliopsida; Poales; Poaceae. The record is from RNAcentral.
UUUCUCGAUGUCACAUUCCAAAAUCCCCUUUUGCUUCUCUGAAGCUUAAAACAUUGCUAUUUCUUGCAUUUCGAGAUCCUUGUUAUAUUUAUGGUCUCAUAAGAAAAAAAUUGCUUUUGUUCCAGAGUUACUUUUGUACAUUGUAUAUUUGGUAUGGUCUUGCUAGGUUAUAUAUAUACUGCUAAGGUCUUUGGCAUUGAGAAUUGAGAUUGUUAGUGGUUUUGUGACAAUUUUUUGGGGAUGAUCUCGUAAUAAAGGAGUUACAUUUUUCUGCAGUUAGUUACAGUAGAAAUUGUUCAUCUCUCUUUUCUUGCAAGGUCUAUUAUUCUAUUUUAACAGCUUAGUGGUGCUAGUAAUAAUUUACUAUCUUCCCUAUUUUAGAAGAAAAGAAAAAACUUCUAGAGGCCAUUGGAUUUGAACCUUGAGUUGGUUUCAUGGACAAUUUAUGCAUCUGUAGAGAGUUAGCUACAAUAGCAUCUGGCAAGUAAUUGAUUUUGAUAGCUUAGUGGAAUGAUUGUAGUAACUUGAUCUAUCUGUCUUAAGAAAGAACUACAGAUUCAGUUUUGAUGCCAUCUUGUUUCAGCAACAAAGUAGUUUAGUGGUGGUUGUCCAUUUUUCUUUUAUCAUGUUCUGAGCAUGAUUUUUCAAUUUGCUUGUGGCUUGUGAUAACAGGGGAUCAAAGAUCUUCUCCACCUUUGUCACCUUCUUGAAGAGCAAGGACGCCAGCGAUGGCUCGGAGAAGGCACUUGUUGACGAGCUGCAGGCACUGGAAGAGCACCUAAAGGCCCAUGUAAGUAGGCCGAACUGUUUUCGCAGUUGACACGGCAGUUGCUUUUCUGCAGUGGAAUAGACAUAACACAUGCUUCCACAACCGUUCCAUUAUAUCCAUGCUUCACUCACUGGCUUCACUAUCUCAGCACUCAUCCUGUCUGCAAUAAUUUCAUUUUGCCACAUUGCCUUAUCGUGCAAGACGUGGGGCCUUUGUCUGUUCAGUCUUGAGCAUCUGGCUUGAUCUUGAUCAAACGAAACUUCCGCUAACAUGAUGGUCAAAACUGUGCUGGCAGGGACCCUACAUCAACGGGGCGAACGUCUCCGCCGCGGAUCUCAGCUUGGCUCCGAAGCUCUUCCACCUCCAGGUUGCCCUGGAGCACUUCAAAGGCUGGAAGGUCCCUGAAACACUGACCAGCGUCCAUGCUUACACCGAGG